RNAcentral lists this ribosomal RNA (491 nucleotides) under uncultured bacterium. RNAcentral describes it as "partial 16S ribosomal RNA". It matches the Rfam family "Bacterial small subunit ribosomal RNA", at positions 39 to 523 of the family's 1533-position model. The record is from RNAcentral.
AGCCGCCGCUGUAACACAUGCAAGUCGAGCGGCAGCGCGACUAGUAGCAAUACUAGUUGGCGGCGAGCGGCGGACGGGUGAGUAACACGUGGGAACCUGCCCAGAAGUGGGGGAUAACUAAUGGAAACGUUAGCUAAUACCGCAUACAUUCGGGAGAAGAAAGCUGCAGCAAUGUAGCGCUUUUGGAGGGGCCUGCGUCCGAUUAGCUAGUUGGUGAGGUAAUGGCUCACCAAAGCGAUGAUCGGUAACUGGUCUGAGAGGACGACCAGUCACACUGGGACUGAGACACGGCCCAGACUCCUACGGGAGGCAGCAGUGGGGAAUCUUGGACAAUGGGGGAAACCCUGAUCCAGCGAUGCCGCGUGAGUGAAGAAGGCCCUCGGGUCGUAAAGCUCUUUAGGCUGGGAAGAAGUGUGUGAGAGGAAAUGCUCACAUAUUGACGGUACCAGCAGAAUAAGCACCGGCAAACUCUGUGCCAGCAGCCGCCGUAA